GAGCAUAGGUCAUCUUAUCUUAGUGACCUCGCAGGUCACCUCAUGAUUUACUGGUCCCUUCAAGUUAGCCUCAGCAUUCUUCGAAAAUAUCUACUUGUUUUCCUAAGCAGGGUUUGAAACGUGGUGCUAUUAAUUUAGCU
Molecule: long non-coding RNA, 140 nt
Organism: Amblyraja radiata (thorny skate)
Lineage: Eukaryota; Metazoa; Chordata; Chondrichthyes; Rajiformes; Rajidae
Exons: 3
Source: RefSeq, a predicted model, not a curated record